AAUGAUAGAGGUAAGGCACUUUACUAUUACUAUACUCUCAUGGUGUGCUUUUAUCUACUUUGUUUGGUAAUAAAUGAUACUAAUGUGUUAAUAGAGCCCGGAUGAACGUAGGAUAAGAUACAAUUGGCAUGCCAAUAGGGUUAAUUGUGCGCUAGUACGAGAUAUGUGUAAAAGAUGAUGUGGAGAAAAAUAUCUAAUUAAGAUAUCACUGUUUACGUCGGAAUCCUGUAUUUGUUGUAGAUUACCGAGCUUUGUCUCUAAGGAGACAUUGGUGUGGUGGAGGGAUAAUGCAUUAUAUGAUACAGUAUUUGGGCCUAUAGGCUUUGCAAUACGGUGCCUUUGUGUGGUGUAGUUAUCGCUCUGUCGAGUUAUUUGGUGUGGUGUAGUUAUCGCUCUGUCAAUCUAUCUUGUGUAAUGUAGUUACCUGUGUAUUUAUAUAUUAUUAUUUUGGUUCAUCGGACUAACUGUUAAAAGGAAAACGUAUUGAUUGAUUCUAUGUGAUGCAUGGAAAUGAAUGUGUUUUUAUGAUUAUUAAAAGGUUAUAUGAUUGAACCGAAUAAAUUAUGUAUAUGUGUUUGACAGUUAUUCAGAAAUGAUAUUGAAUUGAAUUGAGUGAAUUGAUAGUUAAUCAUAUAUAUAUAUAUAUAUGAAAUGCUCACCUUGUAAAUGUGACAUGUUGUGAUAAGGAAAUAGAUAAAUUAGUUAAAUUCAGUAUAUGUUUUUUGUGAACUGAGGUAAGUUUUUGUUUAUAAACCUAUGAACUUACUAAGCAUGUUUAAUGAUUAUUCCAUUUUAUUUUUUUUUGUUUGUAGUUGACCCUCUUUGCAGAACUUGGUAGUCAAAUCAUCUUGAAGAUCACACUACUAUGGUUCAUUUUCGGUAGUAUUUUAAAUGUUCAUUUCACUUAUGUGGCAUGUAAUAGGAGUUGAAAUGUAUAUAAGUGUUUUGUAAAAGUAAAGUGUGAUUUUUGUUGCACAAAGUAUGCUUGCUUGUAGGUAUGUGGAUGUGUUUGAUCAUGGCUUGAAAUAGUAUCCUUAAAGGUG
This 1043-nucleotide long non-coding RNA is filed under the name Gossypium barbadense (sea-island cotton). Its description in RNAcentral is "long non-coding RNA (GBAR_LNC020653)". Lineage: Eukaryota; Viridiplantae; Streptophyta; Magnoliopsida; Malvales; Malvaceae. The record is from RNAcentral.